AUAAUUGAAGAAAAUACAAGAAUAUGUUCACAAAUUUGCCGGUAAAAACCCCCCAAUCCACCGGUAAAUCGAACAAAAGAAAAAAUCCACCCCUCCUGAAAAACAAAUCCAUCGGUAAAAACCCUGAAAAAAUCACCUCCUAAUUCCAUCAUUUUACCAUCUCCUCGCCCCUCCAUCCACCCAUUCUCAGCCUUUCACUCUCAUUUUCGCUUCUCACCCAAAAUACAGCGGAGUGAAAAACACUCAAAACCACAGCCAGAGAGAGGAAAGAUCAGCAGACAGGGUCUUGGAAUUUGGGAUUUCUGCUCCGAGUGAUUAACACUUUGGAGGGGGUUUUGCAAAUUUGGGGUUUUUUCUCUGAGUGGUUAACGUUUUGGAGGGGGUUUUGUAAUUUGGGGUUUUUUUCUCCGAGUGAUUAAAGCUUUAGAGGGGGUUUUGCAAUUUGGGGUUUUUUCUCCGAGUGAUUAACGCUUGUUUGCUGAUACUGAUGCUGAAGUUCAGUCAGUAUUUCCAUGGCAUGAGUGUCUUUCCAUUAGCCGCAGCAACCUUUGGACUAAAAACUUUCUUCACGAUUUUACAGCAAUUUGGACAAAACCCCAUGUUUAGCCCAGUUCCUAGUACAAGGAGAUGGUGGAGGGUGAUGAGAAGAAGGUGACUGUUAAGUGGUUUUAUUAACAGAAAGGGUUUGGGUUUAUGACUCCAUCUGAUUGAAUCUGAAGGGUUUAUGCGGCUUCAAUGAAGGGGAGACAGUGGACUGCGCGCAGGGUGGCCGUUUGUUGCUUUCUGUGAGAUGCAGCAGCAGAGGAAGCAGGUGGCGGACACAACACAAAGAAAUCCAAGAAAGAAAAAUCCCACUGAUAAAAACCCUCAACACCAUCCCUCUCUUCCUACCUCACUAAUAUGUUUGAACUUGUAUCUAAAGACGAUUGCUUAUAACAAAUUUUCGUUUGCAAAGAUUUGGCCGAUGGCUGUUCAGUUUAAAUACGGCAGUUAAAUAUUGACCAGCAAGGCGAAUUUUGGGGUCGGCGAUUGGCAUGGCUCCCAAAGAUAAGAUAUCUAAGAAGUACGUCGAGAUAGAGCUGCAACUUGGUAAUUUAGAACGAUGUAGGAAGCUGUAUGAAAAAUACUUGGAGUGGUCACCAGAGAACUGCUAUGCAUGGAGCAAGUUUGUUGAGUUGGAGAGAUCCUUCGUGGAAAUUGAAUGAGCUAGAGCUCUUUUUGAGCUUGCAAUUGAUCAACGUGCGCUAGACAUGCCUAAGCUGUUAUGUAAGGCAUAUAUUGACUUUGAGACAUCUGAUGCUGAAUAUGAAAGACGAGAGGCUUUUGAACCGCACAAAACAUUUGAAGGUGUGGAUUAGUUAUGCCAAGUUCGAGGCAUCUGCUAUGGAUGAGGGCUUGCAGGAGUCAGACUUGCGUGGAAGUGAUUAUGAACAAAAGAGGAAAUGCCUUCAGCAAGCCAGAUAGUGCUGUUCUAGGAGCAAAGGAUUUGCUUAAGCGAUCAAAUGGCAUCGAUUAAUUGCACAGCAGAAAGGCAGGAUAGAGCAAGGUUUCAAGGCAAAAGUUAUGCUAAGGCGAUCCCGUUACUUAUGCGUUGUAGUUUUAGUUUGUGAUCUUCUUGAAGUCGGAGUUGGCUUCUUCAAAAAUAGGCUUCUGGAAUUCAUAAUUGGAAUGACAUGUGGUGACGUUUUUGAGAACUUUGCAGUCUCUUUUUUCAAGCAUAAAGGCAAUAGGCACUGUGCUCUUCCGUGCUUGGACUCAGGUCGAAGUUUGUCACUUUUACCAUCCUCUGACAACAACAUUGCAACCACUUGAUAGGACUUGGCAGCGAAUGAAAACACUUGCUGAACUAAGGAUGAAAAAAACCCUCCAAACAAGGAUUCACUUUACAUGGUGAGAACAUCCAAUUAUAACUCCUUUCUUUCCUAAUCCAACCUUAAGAAAGAAAUAGAAAUUGAUUAAUAAACAAAUUGAGGGGUACUUCUACACAGGUAGAUUGUAUUUUAAUUGGUGAUUUUAAAAAAUUUAUUCUUUAAUAUGUUUUGUUAUUUAUUAAGUUUUAGCUUUAUUAUUUUACAUUUAUGCUCCAUGCACAACUUUAUAAUUAAAUGUUAUCAUAUGUAGACUAAGAAGAUAAUUUUUUUUAUUAAAAGCUAUUUAGUAUUAUUCACCUCGUUAAUAAGUUUUAAUUGACUUAAAAAAUUAGAACUACUAAUAGUCGUCUUUUCAGUUAAAAGCUACUAAAAUUAUAUUUAGGUGGUAGUAGUACUAUCAUUUUAUAACUAAUUCUCAUUAUUAAUAAAAAUAGUCCUUAAGGGUAUAAAUGUCUUCUCACACUUUUGUCUAUGUAGUUUAAAGAAAUUUAGGAUUAUUAGAUAGCUUAUUUUUCUAUUAAAACUUUGUCUCUUGACAAAAUUUUAUUUAUUAUUAAAAAGAGUUAAGUUAUUAUUCACAGUUUUUAUGUAUAAUAUAGACAAAGAUUACCUAAUUUUAUUUAAUCAAAAUAUUAUUUAUUAUUCGGUGUUGGAUCCAGUAUGAGAAUGGAGGUAAUCCUUUCAUCUUUUGAUGGCUCCUUUAUGCAUUUAGUUAUUGAGGUGAGUAUGUUUCUUCUUCACUCUACACAAAACUCUUGUUUGCAGUUUUUGAUUUGUUGCGUUUGCUUUCCGGGUGUUACUGAUACAUAAUUGAACAUGUGUACUAUUUGUGCCUUCAACAUGUUUAUGGAAUAUGGCAUUUGCCUUUGAUGAUUCCACCUUCCUAGAGUAGGUGGAUAAUUUUCCUCAAAUGUAAUCAAUAACUAGACAUGCUUAUAUUUCGUUGUGGAUACAUCAGAUGAUACAAAACAAUAACAAAGUAACUGAGAAAUAGAAAGGAAAGGAUACUGAUGUUAAGUUACCCCAAUUUUGUGUAAGUUGGGAGUAUAAGGUAUGUGAUAGUGUUUGAAACAUUACAGUUGGAAGUUAUAGGAGUCAGAUUCAACUCUUGUGUUAUUGUGUUUGGUCGAUUUUUGUCUAAAGUGUUAUCGUACUGUUUUUCACUAGAAUUGGGAUUGAUGUGUUUGAAUCCUUGUAUAGAUGUUAAAAUUGUUUGUGGUAUUUCUGAGAGAGCAUAUGCUAAAAUCAGUCAUUGAUAGCCUGGAAAGUUGCUGGCCUCUACCAUUCUGGGCAGAGUCAGUUGGCUCCUUCAAAAACAGGCUUUUGUAACUCAUAAUUGGAAUGACAUGUGAAGAGGUUUUGGAUAACUCUUUAGUCUCUUCACCAGCAUAGAGAGAAAAGGUAACUUGCCUUGUGGCAUUCAUGAUCGCAUUGUGGCAUGUGAAUUGAUUCGGUUCAACACAUUGUUGCCUGACUUUCUGAAUUUGUUCCAAGUAUUAAAACUCUACUGUUGCUCUCCAUUCUUUAGCUUUUGGGUGUGUAGGUUACACAUUCAACCAAAAUAUAACCUUGUAAGAAUCCUAGGUUGUUCCAAAAAGAGUUCUAGAUUGUAAGAUGAGAAUUGCUAGGUUGUUACAAAAAGAUUAUGUUUUCCUCCUUUCCCCCCAUACAUCGUAAAACUCUUAAAUACUACUUUCCUAUUGUGGCAUGUGAAUUGAUUCGGUUCAACACAUUGUUGCCUGACUUUCUGAAUUUGUUCCAAGUAUUAAAACUCUACUGUUGCUCUCCAUUCUUUAGCUUUUGGGUGUGUAGGUUACACAUUCAACCAAAAUAUAACCUUGUAAGAAUCCUAGGUUGUUCCAAAAAGAGUUCUAGAUUGUAAGACGACAAUAGCUAGGUUGUUACAAAAAGAUUAUGUUUUCCUCCUUUCCCCCCAUACAUCGUAAAACUCUUAAAUACUACUUUCCUAUUUCUUUUGUCAAUCUAGGGAAUUACUCUGUAGGAAUGUGUGUGAGGAUUCAAAAUUUUUAUUUGGGGGUUGAUAUUUUUUAAUGAACACCGAUCUUGUGAAGGAAGUUGGUGGUGUAUCUUGAGAAAAAUAUGCGAAUUAUCUUGUGGUAGCACUUGAAUUUUCUGAAUGUUUUCUUGUUAUAUCCCUUGGAUAAAUAGAAUAUUUUGGUAUAAGUCGUGAUAAGUAGGAGAAAGGAGCACUAGUGGCAUACAAAAAAAUAAGUUGUGUGAAGUGUGUUCCGUUGACUGCAUCAAAUGAACAAUGUUCAAGAAUCAACACAAAAGUCGUUUGUGUGAGCUUUUGUACCUAAGCACUUCUGCUUAAAUAGUGCUCGUACAUUUCUUUUGAUUGAGGGAAUCAAACUUAUUGUGUCCAUUCUAGAACUUGCUUGUGUAAUACAUUUUGAGUCCACAUUCUUGUAAGAUUUGAGUCCACAUUUGAGUAGUUUGAUUGUUCAAAUCACUUGAAUCUAUUUGAAGGGAAAUGAGAAAGAUGAGCAACUAGGUCGGCUUCAGUCCUUUGAAUUAAUAAGCUACAAUUCGACCUUUGUUUUUCCACACCUUGUCCUAAACCCCAUUACAACCCAUGGAAAGACCUUUUGAUUCAUCCAUUAAUUUGUAUUUCGUUGGUGGAGGAGAUUUGAUUCACAAGCAAGCCUAUGGUAAUGACAUGCUAUGUAUUGAUUUGAGUGGGACCCAAAUUCUUAAACACUUUAUGAGUGAUUAGAGUGAUACCUUUGUGAGAGUGUUGAGAUUUGUUUCAUUUGAUUUUGAUAAAGUCAAUGGAAUACUUGUGUGUUGAAUAUUAUGCUACAAGUGCUUGUUCUCAGUAUUGUUGUCUCUUCUUAAACUAUUAAGUCAUGUUAUUGUAGGGAUAUACUUGACUGACGUGAAAGGAAAUUUGUGAAUUGCCACUUGGAUAAUUCGUAUAUUUGAAUUGGGACAUGCUUGAGGGCAAGCAUGGUUUUAGUAUGGGGAAUCUACUAAUUAUAUUUUAAGGCUCCUAUGCAUGCUUAUUUCGAGUCAUUGCGAAGGAUUUUAUUGUAUAGGUUAGUGUUGUUAAGUUAUCCAAAUUUUCUCGAAGAUGGGAGUGUAAGGUAGGAGAUAAUUUUUUACACAUGACAAUUUGAAGUUAUAGGAGCCAGAUUAAACUAUUGUUUUAUGGUGCUAGGUGGAAUUUUGCAUGUCUUAUAUUUAAUGUUGUUUGUUGUUUACUUCACUAAUAGGAUCAAGAGUUUAGGUAAAUACUAUUUUCCUCUUCCUUUUGUCAAUCUGGGGGUCCAUUUUUUUCACCCAAAAACACUACGGUGGAGUUAAUCUUAACUGGUUAAAUUCGCUGCACAAAGAGAAUUGUAUGAGAUUACAACAAAAUAUUGAAACUGUUAUGGUCCUCUUGGAGGAUAUGUUAAAAUUGAUUGUGCUAUUCCUGAUAGUGCAUAUGCUAAAAUCUUUCAAUUUACAACCUCGAGAGUACAUGGCUUAUGUCAUUCUGGGCCGUCUAAGUUAGCUUCUUCAAAAACAAGCUUCUGGAACUCAUAAUUGGAAGUGGCAUGUGGUGAUGUUUUUGAAAACUUUGUAGUCUCUUUUUCCAAGUGUAAAGACAAAAUGUAAAUUGUCUUUUGUCCUUGAUGGUCUUAAAAUAUUACUUUUUCUAGCUUUUUACAUUAUGAUUUUCCAUUAUUUUUGUUGUGUUAGAUGCAUUAUUAAUUAAUAUUACAUGUAAACUUAGCAAUGUUAUUUUAUAGAAUGAAUCUGCUUGUGUGGUAGACACUGUGCUCUUGCGUGCUUGAACUCAAGUCAAAGUUUGUCACUUUUACCAUCCUCUAACAACAACAUUGCAACCACUCCAUAAAACUUGGCGGGUAAUGAAAACACUUGCUGAACUAAGGAUGGAAAUAAACCUUCGAGUGCUAGUCAACAAGGAUUCUUUUUACACGGUGAGGAUAUCCAGUUAUAACUCUGCUUUCCUACUCCAACCUUAAGAAAGAAAUAGAAAUGGAUUAAUAUAAACAAAUUGAGGGGUACUUCGAACACAGGAAGUUUGAUAAUUUUUGGUGAUUUAUAAUAUUUAUUCUUUAAUAUGUUUUGUUAUUUAUUAAAGUUUUAGCUUUAGUUAUUUAAGUUUAU
Long non-coding RNA from Sesamum indicum (sesame), 6008 nucleotides. RefSeq lists it as uncharacterized. Lineage: Eukaryota; Viridiplantae; Streptophyta; Magnoliopsida; Lamiales; Pedaliaceae. The record is from RefSeq and is a predicted model, not a curated record.